RNAcentral lists this ribosomal RNA (406 nucleotides) under Veillonella parvula. Its description in RNAcentral is "bacterial SSU rRNA". It matches the Rfam family "Bacterial small subunit ribosomal RNA", at positions 28 to 411 of the family's 1533-position model. The record is from RNAcentral. Lineage: Bacteria; Bacillati; Bacillota; Negativicutes; Veillonellales; Veillonellaceae.
GACGAACGCUGGCGGCGUGCUUAACACAUGCAAGUCGAACGAAGAGCGAUGGAAGCUUGCUUCUAUCAAUCUUAGUGGCGAACGGGUGAGUAACGCGUAAUCAACCUGCCCUUCAGAGGGGGACAACAGUUGGAAACGACUGCUAAUACCGCAUACGAUCUAAUCUCGGCAUCGAGGAUAGAUGAAAGGUGGCCUCUACAUGUAAGCUAUCACUGAAGGAGGGGAUUGCGUCUGAUUAGCUAGUUGGAGGGGUAACGGCCCACCAAGGCGAUGAUCAGUAGCCGGUCUGAGAGGAUGAACGGCCACAUUGGGACUGAGACACGGCCCAGACUCCUACGGGAGGCAGCAGUGGGGAAUCUUCCGCAAUGGACGAAAGUCUGACGGAGCAACGCCGCGUGAGUGAUGA